This 69-nucleotide transfer RNA is filed under the name Patescibacteria group bacterium. Its description in RNAcentral is "tRNA-Ile". The record is from RNAcentral.
GCGGGGCUGAGUUGGUCUAGCAAAGGACCGAUAAUCUUCGUGCUUGGGGUUCGAAUCCCCACAGCUCCA